CACUCCUGCGGGAGGCAGCAGUGGGGAAUUUUGGACAAUGGGCGAAAGCCUGAUCCAGCAAUGCCGCGUGAGUGAAGAAGGCCUUCGGGUUGUAAAGCUCUUUUGUCAGGGAAGAAACGGUGAAAGCUAAUAUCUUUUGCUAAUGACGGUACCUGAAGAAUAAGCACCGGCUAACUACGUGCCAGCAGCCGCGGUAAUACGUAGGGUGCAAGCGUUAAUCGGAAUUACUGGGCGUAAAGCGUGCGCAGGCGGUUUUGUAAGUCUGAUGUGAAAUCCCCGGGCUCAACCUGGGAAUUGCAUUGGAGACUGCAAGGCUAGAAUCUGGCAGAGGGGGGUAGAAUUCCACGUGUAGCAGUGAAAUGCGUAGAUAUGUGGAGGAACACCGAUGGCGAAGGCAGCCCCCUGGGUCAAGAUUGACGCUCAUGCACGAAAGCGUGGGGAGCAAACAGGAUUAGAAACCCGAGUAGUCCCA
This 472-nucleotide ribosomal RNA is filed under the name uncultured organism. Its description in RNAcentral is "partial 16S ribosomal RNA". It matches the Rfam family "Bacterial small subunit ribosomal RNA", at positions 334 to 797 of the family's 1533-position model. The record is from RNAcentral.